UAGACUGGGAUAACUCCGGGAAACCGGAGCUAAUACGGGAUAAUAAAGAGAAUCACCUGAUUCUCUUUUGAAAGACGGUUUCGGCUGUCACUAAGGGAUGGGCCUGCGGCGCAUUAGCUAGUUGGUAAGGUAACGGCUUACCAAGGCGACGAUGCGUAGCCGACCUGAGAGGGUGAUCGGCCACACUGGGACUGAGACACGGCCCAGACUCCUACGGGAGGCAGCAGUAGGGAAUCUUCCGCAAUGGACGAAAGUCUGACGGAGCAACGCCGCGUGAGUGAGGAAGGCCUUCGGGUCGUAAAGCUCUGUUGUGAGGGAAGAACAAGUACCGGCGUAACUACCGGUACCUUGACGGUACCUCACCAGAAAGCCACGGCUAACUACGUGCCAGCAGCCGCGGUAAUACGUAGGUGGCAAGCGUUGUCCGGAAUUAUUGGGCGUAAAGCGCGCGCAGGCGGCUUCUUAAGUCUGAUGUGAAAUCUCGGGGCUCAACCCCGAGCGGCCAUUGGAAACUGGGAAGCUUGAGUGCAGAAGAGGAGAGUGGAAUUCCACGUGUAGCGGUGAAAUGCGUAGAUAUGUGGAGGAACACCAGUGGCGAAGGCGACUCUCUGGUCUGUAACUGACGCUGAGGCGCGAAAGCGUGGGGAGCAAACAGGAUUAGAUACCCUG
This is a ribosomal RNA of 669 nucleotides. It matches the Rfam family "Bacterial small subunit ribosomal RNA", at positions 134 to 789 of the family's 1533-position model.